UUUUUUCUUUCAUUUAAUAUUUAUUUCUAGAAUGGAAGUAAGUGAUAGUGAGCAAGAAUGGUCAUUCCACAUUCCAAAAAAAAAUCUCUACGUUAAUAAAAUCCACAUCAACAUAUUCAAUUGAAGUUUUAAGUUUACACUUUGUCAUAGAACACUUGUUAUGGGGUAAAUAUACUUGCAAUGGAGAAAAAAAAAAGUAUGAGUUAAAAUUUAAGAAGCUUCUUUCUUCUCGACCAGGAGUUGGCAUACUUUUUGUAAUGGAUAAGACAGUAAAUAUUUUAGUCUUUGUGGGUUUUAGGGUAUUAAAACUACUCCAGUCUCCUGCUAUAGCCCACCACAGGCAGCCAUAAACAAUGAGCAAAGCUAUGUUCCAGUAACAUUCCAUCUAAAAUAGAUGGGCAGAUUUGGGCUAUAGUUUGUCCAUCCCUGCUUCAGGCUAGUGGCUCUCACAUUUGAACAUGCAUCAGCAUCACCUGGGGGGCUUGCUAAGGCACAGAUUUCUAGGCUGAUAAGGCUGUUCCCCAGAGGGCACAAGAAACUGUAUUUCUAGCAAGUUUCCCCAUGAUUCUGAUGCCACUGGUCUCGGACACAUGCUUUUUACUCAGGAACACCUACCCUGAGAACUCUUUCAUCAUUUCUACUGCCAUAUUUUUGUAACAUUUUAAAACAGCUAAAACAGACUUUUUCUUUUUUUUUUUAAUUAUUCAAACAGCUUUUAUUAUAAAACUAAACAGCAGUUUAGUUUUUUUUUUAAAAACUAAUAGUUUAGUUUAUUAUGAAUAGUUUAGUUUAUUAUAAACUAAACUAUUAUAAAACUAAACUAAAGGUGUCUACAGAGUUGUCUUUUUCUUGACAUGAACACUAUAAGAUUUCCUAAAGAGAUCAUUUGUCAGGAAUAAAAAGGUUGGGGUGGGUAGGAAAUAAGACUGUAUAGUGACUUCUGGUUCAACCAUCACCAUCUAUUAUAGUGCUGAGUUAUUUUGUAACUGAGGAUGAUGCUAUAGAAAAUACAUCUUGCAUACGGUCACAAGCUGGAAAUGUUCUCACAGUGUAAAAAGGUACAAAAAGAAGCACCCACCACUCAGAGGCAAAAAAAUGCUUUCGUCUUGAUAUAAUUUCUGAUUUUUAAUGCAUAUUUUACACAAUUAAGGUCAUAUUACAAUAUGUAUACUAUAUUAUAAUAGCAUUAUACUAUGAAUAAUAUUAUAAUGACCUUAUAUAAAAAUAUACUACAAAAUAUAUUAGUUUUGUAAUAUGCUCUUUUAGCCUAGUGAUCAGAAUCAUUUCCCCUUACUAUUAGAAACAAUUUGUAGGGCAGCCCGGGUGGCUCAGUGGUUUAGUGCCUCCUCCCCAGGGUGUGAUCCUGGGGACCCAGGAUCGAGUCCCACAUUGGGCUCCCUGCAUGGAGUCUGCUUCUCCCUUUGCCUGUGUCUCUGCCUCUCUCUCUCUCUCUCUCUCUCUGUUUCAUGAAUAAAUAAAUAAAAUUAAGAAAAAAAGAAACUAUUUGUAAACAUUUGUAAUGGAUGUGUACUAUUUCCUUAUAAAUGAAUAUAAACAUAUUUUAGAAUGAGUCCCACCACUUCCAUAAUUCUUGUACUCUCUUCAGUCUUUCCCUUUAGGAAUAAUCUUGUAAUGAAUAUCUUUGUGCAAGAAUUAUCACCAUUUUUAUAUUUCUUUUGAAAACAAUUAAAGAAGUAGAAUUUCUGGAUAUAUAUAUAUCAAAUUUCUGGAUAUUUUUAAGACUCUUGAUGGAUAUUGGAAUUUUUUUGCUAUAACUUCACACUUAUUAUAUAAGAGAGCCAGCUUCACUAUACCCUAUCCAACAUUGGGCAUUUCAGGCAGUUUUCUUAGUUUAUAAUAUGAAACAAAGUGACUGGAAUGGGCUCAGUUUUCCCUAUCAUAUUAUAAAAGUGUCUAUUUAUCCUUUUUAUCUCUGGCUCCAACCCUAUCACAUAGUUCCUUUCAUCCUAUCUCAUUCCUGCUACUCCUAAUAGCAUCAUAUAUACAUAAAUACAAUUGCAAGAUAUCUGGCUUCAGGCCCAAACAGUGCCUAAGCCUGUAUUCUCUCAGGUGUUGCCUUACCUGGCAGAAACACUCUUAUGUAUCUCUGUAAAUGUGCAGAGCAAAAGUCCACUUAUAUGCAGAGCUAUGCUAGAGUGCUAGACCAGAGUGUAGCUCUCCAAAGAAUGGUCAAGGGACAGAGCUCUCCAUCGUUGUGGCUGUCUCUUCCGCCAGCACACAGCAAAGGUUAAAUCAAGCCAUGGUUGCUGGGCAGAAGCAAAUCAGCACAGGGAAAGGAUGAUUAAGGUUCCACAAGAAGUCACAGAUAUGCUCCCAUGCUAAUAGCAGCCCUUGCCCAAGAAAAUUUAUCCCUGAAGAUUGAAUAGAGAAUUGGCGAACUUUGUAAGCUUCUGCUUGGCUCAGCUUUGAAAUUUGUUUUUGAUGAGCUUAUGGAGAAACAUCGAAAGAAUCAUCUUGUUGGGAAAAAUGAAAACUCAGAAGGGUUCUGAGCUGAUAGACAACUGAAGAUCACAUUAGAAAUAAGUUGUUCCUGAAGAUGCCAGGACUGAUAGAUGACAAACUAUGUCAAAUUCUUCCUCUACUGCCUUCCCAUGGACCA
This 2620-nucleotide long non-coding RNA is filed under the name Canis lupus familiaris (dog). RNAcentral describes it as "lncRNA (ENSCAFG00845015254.1)". The record is from RNAcentral. Lineage: Eukaryota; Metazoa; Chordata; Mammalia; Carnivora; Canidae.